UACGGAGGGGUGCGAGCGUUGUCCGGAAUCACUGGGCGUAAAGGGCGCGUAGGUGGCCUGUGGAAGUCUGCGGUGAAAGCCCGGCGCUCAACGCCGGGUCGGCCGUGGAUACUCUCGGGCUCGAGCUUACUAGAGGCAGAUGGAAUUCCGGGUGUAGCGGUGGAAUGCGUAGAGAUCCGGAAGAACACCGGUGGCGGAAGGCGGUCUGCUGGGUAAUGCUGACACUGAUGCGCGACAGCGUGG
This 243-nucleotide ribosomal RNA is filed under the name uncultured bacterium. RNAcentral's name for it is "partial 16S ribosomal RNA". It matches the Rfam family "Bacterial small subunit ribosomal RNA", at positions 524 to 764 of the family's 1533-position model. The record is from RNAcentral.